UGGACAAUUGGGGGCGACAUAGAAAAAGCCAUGACUGCAGGCUACUAGAGCACACAUGCUCACAGUGAGUCCACUGGUAGGUGAAACGUCUGCCUGAAACUUUCUCUCCCAUCCACCAAUGAGAGUUUUCAUGAAUUUCCUACCAUAUACGGUAAGAGAGAGAAAGAGAGAGAGAGAGAGAGAGAGAGAGAGAGAGAGAAACAGAGAGAGAGAGAGGGGCGUGGUCCAUUGUUUUGUUUUUGCCGUGGUGUAAAGUUACUUUUCUAACCCUGUCAUUACCUGAAGCCCUCCUCCUCCUCUUUCUCCUCCUCCUCUUUUCCUCCAAUCUGCCGCACAUCAAAGAUGGGCUGAUAGAGACGUGGGGGCAGCGUGUUGCAGCAGGACUGAAGUGAGUCAGGAGAACACAGAGACAGAUACCCGCAGUAUGAUAAGGACUGAUAGAUCGACUGCCUUUUGUGGUGGCGAAACAAAGCUCAAACAAUCACACGGCAGAACUCCUCAAAGAUUACUGCUCAGCUGCUGAUUUCACCCUGCUGUCACCUGCCUCAGACAAGUAACAAUUCAUCAAUGAAAAAAAAAAAAACACAUUUGUUGGACAUGAGCCUGAACAGUCAGGUUUCACCCUCCCCCCUUCCUGAACACCUCCUGAAUCUGGAUCCACACACAUCCUAGACCUGCAAAUAACAAUAUUAAUAGUAAAAUAUCAAUUAAUUGAGCAUGAGCUUUUUGCCAUUAUGGCUUUCAAUAAACUGCCUCACUGACUUCUUGGACUAUUUUUCCUGUUAUUUCUUUCGUACAUCUCAUGUAGGCCUCCCAACGAUUCACCAAUAAAAAUAAAUGCUCUAAAUACAACUAAAUAUUCUUGAGAUGGAGUUCUUUUUUGCACGAGCCACAUCUCGGUCGUCUCUCAGGUUAAAAACCCUCCUCUGACUCAUCAGCUUCUGCUUGCAGGUAUCUCCCUCUCUGUGAGUGGUAUGGAUUUAAUGAGGGAAAUCAAUAAGCCUCAGGGGUCGUGGCUCUCACCUGGAAUCACGUCAUCGCGUGCCUCAUGGGAAGAGUACAUGUUCCUUAUGGUUUGCACUUUUGUGCCGAGUUAUUUACUCUAGUUACUGCAAUGAAGUAGCUUAUUGUGCAAUGUGAAGCAAUGAGUGUUUUUUAAGUCAGUAAUUUUACUUUUGCCUUCAUGGUUUUACUCAAGUAUUGUACUUAGCUACAUUUUAAUUCACAUUCAUGUCACACAGCCCAUUAUUUAUUCAUUUAUUCAUAGAUAUUUUGCUGUUGCUGUUGUUCUUCUUUUUCUUCUUCCUCUUUGCCUUCUUUUUCUUCGUCUUCUCAUUAUCAUGGUUAUUAUUAUUGUUACCACUGGCUCUCCAUAAGCAUCAGAAACUGGAUAGUUGUAAAGAAGCCAAUGGUGGAGCGACCUGACUUUCCUUUGUGCACUUUUUUUGUAUUUUCUAAAGGAAGCCCUGUGCUCUCGUCUCAUUGGAAUUACACAGACAACAAAAAUGACAUGUAGCACUCUUUUAUCUUCUAAAAAGUAACAGUAACCUCUACUCCAACUUCAUUUUGAGAUAUUCUAACACUGUUUCCAACCCUGAUUCUGGGUAUGUUUUUUCCACUAUGUAAUUUUGUUCUUCAUUGUUUCCAUGUUCAGACUGUAAAAGCAAAUUUCUCUAUUCUCCUCUCCAAACUCUCACCUGACACUUUACUCAAUCUUCAUGCUGUUAGUCCGCUGCCACCGCAGGGCACAGCCUACUCUUGCACCAUUUAUUGGAUGUUGCAACUUCCUCUAGAUCACUUCAGGAUAGCGAAAAACACUUUCAUACACCUCACAGUGGUCCCAGUACACACUGACCAUCAGUUUUGCUCCAUGCACACACCUCCUGUAUACUGCAGUCACUGAAACACCCACCGAACUAGAAAACAGCACUUUAAGUUACUUCACAUGCUUAAAUGUGUGCGGCAGUUGUGCAAACUUCCAGCUUACAGAACCAGAGAGAAGCUGUCAUGUCUCGUCUUGUCAUGCAGGCAGCCGCAAACUUGCUAGGAAACUUCAGUGAGGGGGAGAGAGUGGAGGCCGCAGAGGGAAGCAAAAACGGAGAGGAAGGCAACUUGUUCGCAAUUUCAGAGUAGCAGCCGGUGUAGAUCUCAAUGCCCUGGCUGAUGUGCUCCUCGCUGUCCCAUGCACCGCGGGGAGAGUGCCAGCGCUUGUCAACCUGGAGGCCAUCAGAUCACACAUGGUUAAAAGUGGCAGCAGGAA
Long non-coding RNA from Myripristis murdjan (pinecone soldierfish), 2260 nucleotides. RefSeq lists it as uncharacterized. The transcript is spliced from 2 exons. Lineage: Eukaryota; Metazoa; Chordata; Actinopteri; Holocentriformes; Holocentridae. The record is from RefSeq and is a predicted model, not a curated record.